This 497-nucleotide ribosomal RNA is filed under the name uncultured bacterium. RNAcentral describes it as "partial 16S ribosomal RNA". It matches the Rfam family "Bacterial small subunit ribosomal RNA", at positions 28 to 507 of the family's 1533-position model. The record is from RNAcentral.
GAUGAACGCUGGCGGCGUGCCUAAUACAUGCCAGUCGAGCGAACGGACGAGAAGCUUGCUUCUCUGAUGUUAUCGGCGGAGGGGUGAGUAACACGUGGAUAACCUAACUAUAAGAAUGGGAUAACUUCGGGAAACCGUAGCUACUACCCGAUAAUAUUUUGAACCGCAUGGUUCAAACGUGAAAGACGGUCUUGCUGUCACUUAUAGAUUGAUCAGCGCUUCAUUAGCUAGUUGGUAAGGUAACUGCUUACCCAGGCAACGAUGCAUAGCCGACCUGAGCGGGAGAUCGGACACACGGGCUCUGAGACACGGCCCAGACUCCUGCAGGAGGAAACAGUAGGGACUCUUACGCGAUGCACGAGAGCCUGACAUAGCAACGCCGCGUGAGGGAUGAAGCUGUUCGGAUCCGAAAACUCUGUUAGUAGUGAAGAACAUAUGUUUAAGUAACUGUGAACAUCAUGACGGUACCUAGUCAGAAAGCCACGGCUAACUACGUG